RNAcentral lists this ribosomal RNA (253 nucleotides) under uncultured bacterium. RNAcentral's name for it is "partial 16S ribosomal RNA". It matches the Rfam family "Bacterial small subunit ribosomal RNA", at positions 524 to 776 of the family's 1533-position model. RNAcentral also lists the same sequence under 1 other name. The record is from RNAcentral.
UACGGAGGGUGCGAGCGUUGUCCGGAUUUAUUGGGUUUAAAGGGUGCGUAGGCGGCUCGAUAAGUCUGGGGUGAAAGCCCGUUGCUCAACAACGGAACUGCCCUGGAAACUGCCGAGCUUGAGUACAGACGAGGGUGGCGGAAUGGAUACUGUAGCGGUGAAAUGCAUAGAUAGUAUCCAGAACCCCGAUUGCGAAGGCAGCUGCCUAGACUGUAACUGACGCUGAGGCACGAAAGCGUGGGGAGCGAACAGG